GCCCCGGUGGUGAAAUUGGUAGACACACCGGACUUAAAAUCCGUUGGCCGCAAGGCCGUGCCGGUUCGAUUCCGGCCCGGGGCACCA
This 87-nucleotide transfer RNA is filed under the name Pseudoduganella chitinolytica. RNAcentral describes it as "Telluria chitinolytica tRNA-Leu". It matches the Rfam family "tRNA". Rfam says of the family: Transfer RNA (tRNA) molecules are approximately 80 nucleotides in length. Their secondary structure includes four short double-helical elements and three loops (D, anti-codon, and T loops). Further hydrogen bonds mediate the characteristic L-shaped molecular structure. tRNAs have two regions of fundamental functional importance: the anti-codon, which is responsible for specific mRNA codon recognition, and the 3' end, to which the tRNAs corresponding amino acid is attached (by aminoacyl-tRNA synthetases). tRNAs cope with the degeneracy of the genetic code in two manners: having more than one tRNA (with a specific anti-codon) for a particular amino acid; and 'wobble' base-pairing, i.e. permitting non-standard base-pairing at the 3rd anti-codon position. The record is from RNAcentral. RNAcentral also lists the same sequence under 4 other names. Lineage: Bacteria; Pseudomonadati; Pseudomonadota; Betaproteobacteria; Burkholderiales; Oxalobacteraceae.